This 438-nucleotide ribosomal RNA is filed under the name uncultured bacterium. RNAcentral's name for it is "bacterial SSU rRNA". It matches the Rfam family "Bacterial small subunit ribosomal RNA", at positions 954 to 1392 of the family's 1533-position model. The record is from RNAcentral.
GCUUAACGCGAAGAACCUUACCAGCCCUUGACAUGGCAGGACGGUUUCCAGAGAUGGAUUCCUUCACUUCGGUGACCUGCACACAGGUGCUGCAUGGCUGUCGUCAGCUCGUGUCGUGAGAUGUUGGGUUAAGUCCCGCAACGAGCGCAACCCUCGCCUUUAGUUGCCAUCAUUUAGUUGGGCACUCUAGAGGGACUGCCGGUGAUAAGCCGGAGGAAGGUGGGGAUGACGUCAAGUCUUCAUGGCCCUUACGGGCUGGGCUACACACGUGCUACAAUGGCGGUGACAGAGGGCAGCUAGUCCGCGAGGACAUGCUAAUCCCUAAAAGCCGUCUCAGUUCGGAUUGCACUCUGCAACUCGAGUGCAUGAAGUUGGAAUCGCUAGUAAUCGCAGAUCAGCACGCUGCGGUGAAUACGUUCCCGGGUCUUGUACACACCG